This 253-nucleotide ribosomal RNA is filed under the name uncultured bacterium. RNAcentral's name for it is "partial 16S ribosomal RNA". It matches the Rfam family "Bacterial small subunit ribosomal RNA", at positions 524 to 776 of the family's 1533-position model. The record is from RNAcentral.
UACGUAGGGGGCAAGCGUUGUCCGGAUUUAUUGGGCGUAAAGAGCGUGUAGGCGGCUUGGUAGGUCCGCUGUGAAAACUCGAGGCUCAACCUCGAGAUGUCGGCGGAAACCACUUGGCUAGAGUCCGGAAGAGGAGAGUGGAAUUCCCGGUGUAGCGGUGAAAUGCGCAGAUAUCGGGAAGAACACCUAUGGCGAAGGCAGCUCUCUGGGACGGUACUGACGCUGAGACGCGAAAGCUAGGGGAGCAAACGGG